GGGGGGUAUGGCGGAAUUGGUAGACGCUACGGACUUAAAAUCCGUUGGCUUUAUUGACCGUGAGGGUUCAAGUCCCUCUACCCCCAA
This 87-nucleotide transfer RNA is filed under the name Breutelia chrysea. RNAcentral's name for it is "transfer RNA Leu". It matches the Rfam family "tRNA". Rfam says of the family: Transfer RNA (tRNA) molecules are approximately 80 nucleotides in length. Their secondary structure includes four short double-helical elements and three loops (D, anti-codon, and T loops). Lineage: Eukaryota; Viridiplantae; Streptophyta; Bryopsida; Bartramiales; Bartramiaceae. The record is from RNAcentral.